CUGUCAACCCUGAUUAGAUCAUCCGAAUCAUGCUCAAUUCAAACAGUCCUGUGACUCCUCACUAGGACUACCCUGACCAAGUUUUUGCUAAAUUGAAAUAUGACUGUACACAGCUCCUGAACUGGAGUAGUCAAUCCCAUCUUGACACAUGCACCGACAAGUCAAGUACUUGACUACACCCAGCAGCCUUCCAUCACUGAAUUAGAAAUUCAGAUAGUUCAGUGCCUAAGUACAGUGAGUUGCUUGCAAAUCACCGUGGUGG
Molecule: long non-coding RNA, 262 nt
Filed under: Elaeis guineensis (African oil palm)
Lineage: Eukaryota; Viridiplantae; Streptophyta; Magnoliopsida; Arecales; Arecaceae
Description: long non-coding RNA (EGUI_LNC063472)
Source: RNAcentral